GUUGGGAUAUACCGAUCGAUCUCUGUACGCCGACUUACUCUCGGAUCUGUCCGACCGACGCUCGACUCUACCGACCGAUGACUCUACCGACCGACGACUCCGACGAUGACCGCCGACAAUAGCUGCCGACAAUGUCCGACCGAAGGUAUGUCGGCCGAACAGAUUCAUACUGUUCCUAACUAGUCAAGCGGCCGAACCCAAAUCACCGACUCACUGUCGGGGGUGGCAGCCGACGUCCGACUUUCGCAAGGUAUC
Molecule: long non-coding RNA, 255 nt
Filed under: Elaeis guineensis (African oil palm)
Lineage: Eukaryota; Viridiplantae; Streptophyta; Magnoliopsida; Arecales; Arecaceae
Description: long non-coding RNA (EGUI_LNC016273)
Source: RNAcentral